Molecule: ribosomal RNA, 1206 nt
Filed under: Tintinnopsis brasiliensis
Lineage: Eukaryota; Ciliophora; Spirotrichea; Tintinnida; Codonellidae
Description: eukaryotic LSU rRNA
Rfam family: Eukaryotic large subunit ribosomal RNA
Source: RNAcentral
UCUCAGCAUCUGAAAUGAAGUAGGACCACCCGCUGAACUUAAGCAUAUCAUUAAGCGGAGGAAAAGAAACUAACAAGGAUUCCCCUAGUACGGGCGACGGAAGCGGGAAAAGCCCACAUUGGUAAUCUCUACGCGAAAGUGUAGCGAAUUGUAAUCUGAAAUUGGCUAGUCUAAUUGAACAGAACUUUCAAGUGCGCACGAGCGCGCCGCCAGAGAAGGUGAGAGCCCUGUACGGAGUUUUGUUCUACAAAGGCUGGUUAAUAAAGAGUCGUGUACUUUGAUACUAGUGCACUAAGCGGGAGAUAAACUUCUUCUAAGGCUAAAUACAAGUAGGAAACCGAUAGCGAACAAGUACUGUGAAGGAAAGAUGAAAAGCACUUUGGAAAGAAAGUUAAAAGACUUGAAAUCGUUGAGGCGGACCCGGUAGAAAUGUAUUCUAGCGAAGCGCUCUGGGAAGCCUGUAAUCGGGCCACUUGAGCGCAAAGCCGAGACAAGAUGGAGUCGCACGAUGCCAGAGGGGCGUGCGCGAGGGAGCUUGCUCCAGCGCGUGCUGUCCGGGUGUCGGGCGGCUUGAGGGGCCUUGCGCGAUCUUGUCAAAAUGGUUUUUACCGACUCGUCUUGAAACACGAACCAAGGAGUCUAAGACUAACGCGAGUAUGGUGGUGGAGAAACCAACAUGCGAAAUGAAAGUAAAUGAUGCCAAGCACCCUGCAGCAUCGACCGACCACUUUCUCUUGGAAGAGGUUUGAGUAAGAGCGUUAUUCUUAGGACCCGAAAGAUGGUGAACUAUGCCUGAGUAGGGUGAAGUCAGGGGAAACUCUGAUGGAAGCUCGUAGCGAUACUGACGUGCAAAUCGUUCGUCGAACUUGGGUAUAGGGGCGAAAGACUAAUCGAACCAUCUAGUAGCUGGUUCCCUCCGAAGUUUCCCUCAGGAUAGCUGGGACAAGUACGCAGUUUUAUUAGGUAAAGCGAAUGAUUAGAGGAAUCUGGGAUAAAAUGUCCUGGACCUAUUCUCAAACUUUAAAUUGGUAAGAACUCCUUUCUUUGCUCAAUUGAAGAAGGAGGUUCAAUGCGUGUCCUUAGUGGGCCAUUUUUGGUAAGCAGAACUGGCGAUGAGGGAUGCUCCUAACGUUGGGUUAAGGUGCCAAACUACACGCUCAUCAGAAACUACAAAGGGUGUUAGUUCAUGAAGACAGCAGGACGGGG